CGCUGACCACGGUCACCGCCAGCCGCAAGCAGCAGCUGCCACCGCGGUGCUCUGUGAGCUGGGGACAGCCCGCUUCUGGGCCUCUUAACAACAGCAACAAAGAGAGGCUUGCAAUUCAAAAUAAAAAUCCAGAAGCAGGUUUGACAGCCUGUGUCAGCAGUGACUGUGGUGCGUGCAAACCAGCAGAAAGUCGCCAGCACCCUGCAUGUGCUGCCACGCCCGCUCCCUCGCCCCGUGCCCCAGGGCCCGCAGGACACCCGCAUGGGCAAACCCACGGCUCGGCACGGCUGGCACCCAGCCAGCAGCACGCUUCUCGCCGCUGGCUGUCCCCUUGUCCCCUGCACGGUGACAGGGACAGGACGUCACCUCACCACCGCCACGGUGCUGGUGGGGUCAGCAGGCUGCCAAAAACACCUAUCAGUACUGCAAGACUGUGCUCUCUGGCCUUGUUAUGCUAUCCUGCUUAAGAAAUUUCACAUGCUUAGUCAUUCUUUUUUGUGUAAAUAUCAUGGUAAAAAGACAUGACAUUUUCUGGGCCAUUCUUCAGUAUUAAUAAGAUUCCAAGUAGAGGGUGACCUUUUCACAAAGGAUUUGUAAAUGCCAAAAACUGCAUAAAACUCUCUGUUUCUGAGGCAGAGUGAGGCUUCAUAAUUUUGCAUUUAUUUCUUAAAUGCUGUUUUCUUGCCUUUCCACUUUGGUUUUUAUCAUCCCUUUCCACCGAACGGCCAUGAUGAAACCUGCACCUCCACUAACAGCCACAAAAGAAUGAGAAAAUCCAACAGUAAAACAACAGCUCACCAAGGGAAUCAUUUUGCUGCGGAGCAGAACAAAUUGAAGCAAAGAAACGGAAAAAGGCCGGGGCGCAGUGGGGAGGGUCCCAGGGGGCUGCGCACCCCUGGGGGAGGCGCUGAGCACCAUGCAGAGCAGCAGGGACCCGCGCCACCAUCGCCUGCAGGUAGCACCAGCACCUGCAGGUAGCACCAGCACCUGGGCUGGUCUCUGUCAGCACCAGCAGAGAGAAGGAAGCCCCCAGACCCCAAGGCUCCUGCAGCAGUCCUGGCUCCAGGCAACACUGGCAGCACGACAGAGCAGUGACAGCCUCAUCCCUCAGCGGAGGAGCAGCAGGUCCAGCCCAUGCUGGCCUCGGCCAUGUCCUUGUCACCCAGCCAGAGCAGGAGCCCCAGCGUGCCCCAGCACAUUCUGCUUUCGUUGGAGAUGGCAAAUGUUUGUGUCCGUCCCUGCAAGCCUCUUGCAAAGCCAUUGUGAUUUGCUCUAUGUAGCUUAAUGAGAAAAUGAGUAAAUCCCUCCCUGGAUUUUUACUUUCAAUUCAGCUGUCCAAAACACUGAAUAUUUGAAUCUCUUAUAACUUAAAAUGUUAUGCUCUCAUUUUUAUUUUAAGAGGCACAUGUGCUUUUACAGCAUAGGAAAUCUGUAGCAGUGCUUCCACCAAGAGGGCUUUAUUCACAAACUUAUGAAUAUGUAUCGCUGACUAUUCAUUUGGGGAAACACAUUUAAUAGCCCU
This 1522-nucleotide long non-coding RNA is filed under the name Anas platyrhynchos platyrhynchos (common mallard). Its description in RNAcentral is "lncRNA (ENSAPLG00000028505.1)". Lineage: Eukaryota; Metazoa; Chordata; Aves; Anseriformes; Anatidae. The record is from RNAcentral.